AAUAUUAUCCCGCGUUGGAAAGAAUCGGUGGGCUUGCCAAACGCCCCCAUAAUCUCCAAAAUUGACCUCGGAUCAGGUAGGGAUACCCGCUGAACUUAAGCAUA
Molecule: ribosomal RNA, 104 nt
Filed under: Cladonia convoluta
Lineage: Eukaryota; Fungi; Ascomycota; Lecanoromycetes; Lecanorales; Cladoniaceae
Description: partial 28S ribosomal RNA
Source: RNAcentral